Molecule: long non-coding RNA, 589 nt
Filed under: Homo sapiens (human)
Lineage: Eukaryota; Metazoa; Chordata; Mammalia; Primates; Hominidae
Description: novel transcript
Rfam family: Vault RNA (bases 61-159)
Source: RNAcentral
ACUCUUUGUGACGUAGGUCUUUCUCACCAGUCAAUAAAAUAUAAUCCGAAAGCAACCUCCGGGCUGGCUUUAGCUCAGCGGUUACUUCGACAGUUCUUUAAUUGAAACAAGCAACCUGUCUGGGUUGUUCGAGACCCGCGGGCGCUCUCCAGUCCUUUUACCUCUCUGGGCGGUUCGAGACCCGCGGGAGCUCUCCAGUCCUUUUCACUGCUGAAGUUCAGCUCCCUUUCCAUGGUAAAAGGAAUCAGGGCUCCUCGGAGAAAUGGCUGAUUUUAGUACUGGGCAGGAAAUAUAGAAAUGGACGUGGAGCAUCUCAUAGAGCUAGAAAGUACUAACCAGGCCUGACCCUACUUAGCUUCCAAGAUCAGAGGAGACCGGGCACGUUCAAGAUGACUUGGAACUGAAGAAGCUGGCAAUCUGGAAAUGCCAAUGGACGCAGAUUUUAAAAGCCCCAGCAAAAGUCUGCUUUCUCUAUUCAUAGGACCAGGAUCAGGAAGAGGACAGCUUAGAAAGACAUAAAAUUCUUAGACAAUAACUGUUCUACCCCAGCCAAACACCAAACACACACACACACACACACACACACACA